RNAcentral lists this ribosomal RNA (429 nucleotides) under uncultured bacterium. Its description in RNAcentral is "bacterial SSU rRNA". It matches the Rfam family "Bacterial small subunit ribosomal RNA", at positions 355 to 776 of the family's 1533-position model. The record is from RNAcentral.
UUAGGAAUAUUCGUCAAUGGGGGAAACCCUGAACGAGCAAUGCCGCGUGAGUGAUGAAGGUCUUAUAGAUUGUAAAACUCUGUUGUAAAGGAAGAAUGAUUGUUAUAGGAAAUGAUAAUGAUUUGACGGUACUUUACCAGAAAGCCCCGGCUAACUACGUGCCAGCAGCCGCGGUAAUACGUAGGGGGCGAGCGUUAUCCGGAUUUAUUGGGUGUAAAGGGUGCGUAGGCGGUUUAUUAAGUUUAAGAUUAAAGCCCGAAGCUUAACUUCGGUUCGUCUUAAAAACUGGUAAACUAGAGUAUAGUAGAGGCAAGUGGAAUUUCUAGUGUAGCGGUUAAAUGCGUAGAUAUUAGAAGGAACACCAGUGGCGAAGGCGACUUGCUGGGCUAUUACUGACGCUGAGGCACGAAAGCGUGGGGAGCAAAUAGG